Molecule: long non-coding RNA, 330 nt
Filed under: Manihot esculenta (cassava)
Lineage: Eukaryota; Viridiplantae; Streptophyta; Magnoliopsida; Malpighiales; Euphorbiaceae
Description: long non-coding RNA (MESC_LNC011189)
Source: RNAcentral
GAGGACAUGGGGGAUGAUAUGGAUGUAGAGCAGAGGAGGGAUGGCAGUUUGGGAGUUAGUAUGUCAGAAGAAGGAAUGGGAGAAUCCCAAGGAGGCACUCAGGCCUCGGGAUUUGUUCAGCCACCUUACUACCCACCCUUCUCAUAAAACCCUGGGUAUUCGAUGGGAGGUACAUCGGACUACCACGGCUUUAGCCCUUAUCCCACACAGAUGCCAUACCCACCCUACUACCCACCAUAUUCACAGUACCCAAUGUAUCCACCUCCACCUUACUAUCCAAAUCCAGCAAACCCUACCCCAGGGGAUGCUGCACCUCCUCCUCCUCCAGCA